This 185-nucleotide ribosomal RNA is filed under the name uncultured soil bacterium. RNAcentral's name for it is "partial 16S ribosomal RNA". It matches the Rfam family "Bacterial small subunit ribosomal RNA", at positions 26 to 210 of the family's 1533-position model. The record is from RNAcentral.
AGGACGAACGCUGGCGGCGUGCUUAACACAUGCAAGUCGAGCGGUAAGGCCCUUUCGGGGGUACACGAGCGGCGAACGGGUGAGUAACACGUGAGCAAUCUGCCCUUCACUUCGGGAUAAGCCUCGGGAAACGGGGUCUAAUACCGGAUAUGACUGCGCCAUGCAUGUGGUGUGGGUGGAAAGUU